Molecule: ribosomal RNA, 422 nt
Filed under: uncultured bacterium
Lineage: Bacteria
Description: bacterial SSU rRNA
Rfam family: Bacterial small subunit ribosomal RNA
Source: RNAcentral
GGAAUAUUGGACAAUGGGCGCAAGCCUGAUCCAGCCAUGCCGCGUGUGUGAAGAAGGCCUUCGGGUUGUAAAGCACUUUCAGCGGGGAGGAAGGGUGGUGUGUUAAUAGCACAGCAUUUUGACGUUACCCGCAGAAGAAGCACCGGCCAACGCCGUGCGAGCAGCCGCGGUAACACGGAGGGUGCAAGCGUUACUCGGAAUUACUGGGCGUAAAGCGCACGUAGGCGGUAUGUUAAGUUGGAUGUGAAAGCCCCGGGCUCAACCUGGGAAUUGCAUUCAAAACUGGCAUGCUAGAGUAUGUGAGAGGGGGGUAGAAUUCCAAGUGUAGCGGUGGAAUGCGUAGAGAUUUGGAGGAAUACCAGUGGCGAAGGCGGCCCCCUGGCACAAUACUGACGCUCAGGUGCGAAAGCGUGGGGAGCAAA